AAAAUAAGAUGCAGAAUUCAUGAUGAUGUGUCCAAGAUUUUUUUUGGGUCCUCUUCUCCUUUCUUUUUCUUCUCCUUAUUAUGUUUCUUGCAGCAUUAUCAACCAACAUUUAUGCGAUUCAUUUGCCUUAUUAUAACACAGUAGACUUAUAAACCAAGCAUUUAGGAAGUCAUAGACUUUGCCUACCCUACUUUAUCCACUUUCAACCCAUUUACCUUCUUCAUCAACUACCACCAUGAUCGAGAAUCUUCUUAUUCUCCUUCAAUGAUGGGUCUUUCAGGUACACCAUGCUCUCUGCAUUUUCUAUACACUUUCAUUUUAUUUUUAUUUUUUGGGCACUCUUCCUACCCUCUUUUGGAUUCUAAUACCCCAUUUGAGAUUUUGAUUCAAAAUCUAUUUUUUAUGUGUUUGCAGGCUUUUUUUUACUUGAUCUCCUUUCUAUUCAUUGCUAUAUGAAACUAAACUCUAUUCUUUGAUUGUCUAGCUAUAAAUUCUGCAAGAAUAUUAGGCUGUGCGUUUGUAAUUUGUGUCAUUCUUUUUUUUUCCCACAUUCAUCUGUAAUUCUUCAAUUCUUGUUGGGUCACCUUCUAUGCUUCUGAUAUGUCUGAAAUGAUAGCCUUGUAGUGUUUACAAGUAAGGAAAGUGGAAAAAAAUACGUAGUAGAGUUGAAAAGGAAGUCGGUUCUUGUUUCUUGUUCAUGAAUCAAUAUCAAGAAUCUUGAAUCAAGAAAUAAGAAUCUUGAAUCAGAAUUCAAGAUCCUGGUUCUUGAUGAAGAAUCAAGAUCAAUCAAGAUCUUGAUUUUUGUUGAAUCUUGACUUCAAGAAUCAAGAUCUUGAGUCUUGAAUUCAAAAAUCAAGAAUCAAGAUCUUGAUCAAGAAUCAAGAUUCAAGAAUCAAAAUCUUGAAUUCAAGAAUCAAGAUCUUGAAUCUUGAUUUCAAGAAUCUCUCGAUUCUUGAACUUGAGUCUUGGCUUUGCUCUUCAUUUUCAUUUCUGUUUCUUUUACUGAAGUUGAGGUAAAAUUCUGCAUUUUCAUUACUGAAGUUCUAUAUAUGUUUGUUUUAUGUUUCGUCCAAAAAAAUAUUUCUUUUACUGAAGUAUCAUCACUGCUUAAUAUGAUACUUGCAUAUGAUGCAGAGAAUCCUGUUUUGUUAUCACUUGUUUAAGUACUGUCCAGGUGUUUAUUCUUAUUUCUUUUUCUGAAGUACUUGCUGGCUUUUGUGUACUUAUUAUGAAAGAAGGGUGUAAGAGGCCUUAAUGGAUGAGAAGAUAUCAUGCAAAAAAACAUAUUAUAGUUUACAAUAAUUAUUAUACUUGCUGCUAUGAGUUGUACAUCUGUGAUAUAUAUGGAGAUUAAUUCCAUGUCUAUCCGGAUUUCUCUGCUUUUAUUCCGAGAGAUUUAUGUAUUAAUCAUUGACACAUUAUGUUAAGCAACUGUUACUAUUUGUUGUGGUGUUAGCUUUGUCUGUCUUAAACAAUCCUCAUGUAUGAAGAUAGACAAAAACAGGUGUAAGAGCCACUUAAGA
Molecule: long non-coding RNA, 1523 nt
Filed under: Lupinus angustifolius (narrow-leaved blue lupine)
Lineage: Eukaryota; Viridiplantae; Streptophyta; Magnoliopsida; Fabales; Fabaceae
Description: long non-coding RNA (LANG_LNC002878)
Source: RNAcentral